CCCCUGUCCUAGUCCUACGCAAAUGAUGGUCAGGAGGACUUUUUUUUUUUUAAUGUGCUGAUACUACACGUCAUUAGAACCCACAUAAAUAAAUACCUUCCAGUUAUCCAGAUCAUCUGGAAACGAGGCAUCAAGGAAAUCUCAACCAUCUUGAACAUUCUGUUUUUCCUGGAGUACAAGAUAAGAGUCAAAAGAUGAAAGUGGUAUUUCUGAUCGCUUUCCUUUUGGUCAUGGCUCACUGCACACCAGUACGAGAAUUUAAUCCUGGAAUUCGCCAUGAUUACUUCUUAAACUGGCAGAGGAUCUAUCACAGAAUGAGCCCAUAUCAACUAUUCUUGUAUCACAAGGUAAACUCAUUCAAUCUAAUAUCUAAAAGUCCUCAUUAAAAAGUUACACGUGUGGUUAAUUCCUUUUAGAAGACUUUAUGUCAACUGACAGAUGUCUUUGUCUGUUUUUUUUUUUUUUUUGCUAAGCAAGCUCAGAGAUCAGUUUAUACUUAUUUUCAGGAAUUAUGUUUCGUAUAGACUUUGAUCUGUAGAUGGCAGCUUCUUGGUAUAUUGCUUGCUUCUUCACAUCUCCCUGAAGAUGCUUGGAGCAUCUUUGAAAGCUCAGGUUUCUGCUCAGAGAGAACUGUCAAAGCAUACAGCUCUCUGUUCCUCACCUUGGUACUUGACUGUCCUUUCUUUUCAUAGGCAGGGAUGAACCUCCAUGUUUCUAUGGAUCCUUGUUGCUUUUUUUUUUUUUUUUUAGUGAAGCUGCUAAUCUCUGGAAAAUUUUUGUACCAGUACUCUGCUCGGCUAACUCCUAACUCCAUUCUCUUCAUAUGUUUU
RNAcentral lists this long non-coding RNA (830 nucleotides) under Cervus hanglu yarkandensis (Yarkand deer). RNAcentral describes it as "lncRNA (ENSCHYG00000002783.1)". Lineage: Eukaryota; Metazoa; Chordata; Mammalia; Artiodactyla; Cervidae. The record is from RNAcentral.